AAAACUAAAAUGACCAAAAUAGCAUUUUAUCUUUUGAAAAACUUAUUUGAAAUCUUAUCCCAAAACUCCAUUCCCCAACUAUGAACCCUAAAACCUAAACUCUAAACCCUAAACUCUAAACCCUAAAUCCUAAACCCCACCCCUUAACUCUAAACUCUAAACCCCACCCCUUAACUCUAAACUCUAAACCCUAAACCCUAAACCCUAAACCCUAAACCCUAAACCCUAAAUCCUAAACUCCACUCCUUAACUCUAAACCCUAAUGUAUAAAUUAAUUUACCAUAGGAGUAUAAGUGUAUAUUUAUCUCUUUUGAUAAAACAUUAAAUGUUAUUUUGGUCAUUUUUAUUCUUAGAGACUAUUUGUGAUAAAAACUUUUUAAGUGCUAUCCUAGUCAUUUUCUCAAAAAAAAAAAUAUUAAAUCUAAUGCACACAACUUAAAAAAAAUAAAAAAAAGAAAAAAACAAGAAGAAAGCUUUAAACUAGACAAAAGACAUAAAAACAUGCCUGGAUAUUUGUGUCCCCUGCAAGUCCAAUAAGCUUGGCCAAACCAGCCUGCACACCAAAAAAAAAGGGUUAUGAUUGAGACAACUAAAACGGAUUCCAGAAACAGAACUAAAAGCUUUAAACCCAAAGCGACAAUUGAAGAUUCAAAAUGUUACCUUGUUGACGGCACUGCAGACGAAUUUGCAUCCCAAAACGAUGUUGCUGAGCAAAAUGGUGAAAUCCCCACGAGACUCUGGAUACUUUGAUUGCUCAUUCAGCACGAAUCUUCGUGAUCCAUCUUUCUUUCUCGCUCUCCCCGUUAUGAUCAGCGGAUACCUUUUUAAUCAGAUGUUUAGAAGAUAUUAUAUAUAUAACCUGCAUUCAGUCGAGAAAAGAGUGUACAUAUAUAUAUAUAUAUAUAUAUAUAUAUAUAUAUAUAUAAUAGAGAUGUCUCUCUCUUUAUAAAUGUUUAGAAGAUAUUAUAUAUAUAACCUGCAUUCAGUCGAGAAAAGAGUGUACAUAUAUAUAUAUAUAUAUAUAUAUAUAUCUAUAUAUAUAAUGGAGAGUUGUCUCUCUCCUUAGACUAUCCAGCUCAGCAAAGAGGGAGGGACGUUUUCCGCCACGUGACAUUCCAAUAUUUAACUUGAAAAUCUAUUACACUGAACUUUUGUUACGCGGACCCGAAACUUGAAACCUUGCAGUCCAUUGGGCUGCCCUUUGCAAUUUAUUGACCUAAAAGGAGCCGCUGCGACCGUUGGUUUAUACAACACCGACGGCCUUAGGCUAUCAUUCAAUCGCCCAAUAAUGAUCGCAUUUACGUCAUCUCCCCACUUCCUCCACUCUCUCACAUUCAAUAGCCCUCUCACUCCUCUUAGUAACGGAGGAGUCCUUCUAUAAAUAACAUUGCAGUCUAGGAUGGAACUCAUCACUCGCACCAAAUCAAUAGCAUUCUCUUAAAAACCCAGAUUCCAUCGAUGGAAUUUCUCACCUAUUGUUCUUCGAUUUGAAAGUUCGUCGUUCUACUAAGGCUGUGGAGGUGUUACUGCUUAGGUUCUGGGAGGCACCUAAUGUGACGAAAGGAGGAGAGCUCCAGGGAAUGGACAUGAUCAUCCUCGAUGAACAGGUAACUCCGGAGAACAUAUGAUAAAUUGCUCCUGCCAAGCUCUUGAUUUUACGUUUCUCUUUUCCAACAGGUAAAGCUUGGUCAACGCCCCACCAAUUGAACACUUUUAGACACCUACUAAGGAAGGUUCAAUGUACUCGAUAACUGGGAUAAUUGGGUUGGCGUUACAUGAACAAACCAUAACUUCAAACUCUCCAACUCCCCGAUCUCCAUACACUUCGAUGAGCAACCCACGUUCAAAAAUAUUCAGUUGCGGGCGCUGCCAAGCUGCUCCCAGGAACUUAGGCCCUGCCAAUUCACAUGAACCAUGUAUAAAGGCAGUGAAAUUUAAUAUUUUGAGAUGUCUAAACACAAAACAAUCAGCGUACAGUUGGAACCUAAAGUGAAACAUGAGUAUAAACUGACAGAUACAUUUGAAAAGUGGUCUGCAUAUGGAAAAUUAGACUAGACAGUAAGUAUAUUACUCCAUCGAAAGUGUAAUGUUUAUAGUCCUAGAAUGUGCAUUAUGAGUGUAAUAUAUCUGGACAUCCAUUAACAUCAUAUGAACAUCUAUAUAACAUCGACAAUUUGACAUCUAAGUUUGUUGGACAUAGUAGUCAAGAAUUUACAAAUCAUAAAUUAUGCUUUCUUGGCAACACAUGCCACCUCAAAACAAUAAUGAUCUGUAUACGAAAGCAUCAGAUCAAGUCUCACUAUUCACAUUGUGAACUAAAUUUUGUGGUGAAGCAGCAAUUAAUCGGAGAAAAAGUACAUCACUUGAUGACCACAGCGUUUGAAAGAACAUAACCAUAAUUGUCACAAAUGCAAUGACAACAACCAAAGAUUGGCCUACCCUGUAACUACAUUCACGAAACAGCAUGUGCACUCUUGGAAAUGAUCAAACUCUAUCAGGUUCCAAUUGUAUUUGACCAUGACCCCUCGAGCGUAUUUGAUUUUAAAAACAACAUUAACGGCAGGUAGCUAAAAGAGCUUUUAUCUAUCUCAUAACCAAACUAACAACAAACAAUCAUCCCAAACAUAUCAACCAUUGUUAUAUUUCUCGCUUAACUUUGAUUAGACAUUCAACAGAGUCCACAUGAAAAGAUAUAACAUAUAAUUAUCAAAAUUCAAUAAGAAACCAACCUUGAGGAACGGAUGUUGAUGUUCAUGUGAAACCCUGACACAAUCAGCACAACUACCAUCAAUCAGCCUCUCAGACCCAAAAUAUCCACCUCCUCCUCUUUCUCUUCCUUCUUCUCCUUAUCUACACCGCGACUAGGAAACUUCACCGGCAACCUUCCAAGUAAUUACCAAAGAUAUACUCAGGCGUGUACCUAUUUUCUUCAUCAAAAAGCAUAAUAGGUUCACCGUCACGCACUGGCCCGAAAUCCGGUUUAAGUAGGUCAAUUCGACCAGAGACUAUGACACAUACUAGCUCGUUCUCCAGCCUGGCUUCUUCUCUUCGAGGUUGGUCUGAAAAUCUCUGUCUUCAUCGUUUUCGCUGUCGUCCGAUUUGAAAAGGAGGUCGUCUAGGGAUUGAGAAAGGAAAUGGGAAUUAGGGGGACGGAUUCGGAGGCGCCCGAGUAGGAUUUAGAAUUUGUGUAUCUGUUGAAAGAGCUCAUGGUUAUUCGCGAUUCCAUUUUCUUUUUCUUUUUCCCUUCUCUUCGUUGUCCUUAAUGAAAUCAGAUCUUAGAAGAAAAAAAUCCCAAAAAAGUAUCAGUUUUAGAUGUAAACGUGGGUUAGUCUAAAUGGUAAAUAUCAACUUUUAGGCAUCGUAUUUCAAGUUUCGUAAAUGGUGUUUUUGGUUUAUUAACUUUUGUAAUCCAAAAUAAUCUUUAAAAAUAUAUAAACGUAGUAAUACAGUAACUAUAAUAUUUUAUUUCUAUAUAAUUAUUAACUAUUUCUAGAUUAGUAUCAAAAAUUCUGAUCUAAUGUAUUGGUAUAAAAAGUUAUUAGAAUUUGUAAAUUAAAUUGCGGAAUGAAAUUCAGUAUAAUCUGCAACAACUUAUUUUUUAUAAAAAAUCAGUAAAUAUUAAAUAAAAAAGAAUAUAUACUAAAUUAUUAUUUACUAUAGUAAGACAAGUAUAUAUUUACAUAGAAUUUUGUAUUUUGUUAUUUUAUCAUUUUAUAUAAUUGUAUUGUAUUCUGAGUUGAUACAACUUAGAACUCAAAACAGAAUACUAAUUUAUAGUUUUCAUUAUAAGUAUAAAUGGAGUAUCAUGCUAAUAAGAAGAAUAUAGAAAUAGAGUCUACCACUAAUUCUCAGAGACCUAAUAGAUGAAAAGCACUACGAAGACGCGUUCACAUGAAAAUUGCAUUGAAGUUUUCUUUUUCUUUUCAAAAUCACUUUCUAUAAACUAAGUUAAGUUUGUCCAGCUAAUCUAUUACCAUUCGGUUAUCAAUGCCAAACAACAGUGAUGGUCUGGAGGAGGAACGUGAGUGGAUAUCUUUAACAGAUGAUCUACGAAUGGAUAUUGAUAACCACCGUAGACACGCAGAGGAUCUGGAGAUAAAACUCAGAAAAGAGAAAACGGCUUCGGAGGAGCUAAACGACGCUCAUGGUAGAGCCAUGCUUGGUCACAGUAGAUUCAUUGAGCAGAGAAGUAACUUCCAGUUACUUCUCUUGGUAGAGCCAUGCUUGGUCACAGUAGAUUCAUUGAGCAGUACACUGAGCUCCAGGAGAAGUAUGAUGAGUUAGUUGAGAGGCAUAACGUGACGUUGGCGGGAAUAGUUGAUGUGAAGAAAGCAGCGGCUAAAGCUGCAGUGAAAGGUCGUCAUGGGAAGAGUUUUGCCAAAGCCUUUUCAGCUGAGCUUACUGCUAUUAGAGCUGAGAAGGAGAAAGAAAGAGAGUUCUUGAAGAAGGAGAACAAGGGACUUAAGAUUCAGCUGAGAGAUACCGCUGAAGCUGUUCAAGCUGCUGGAGAGUUACUGAUCAGACUCAGAGAAGCUGAGCAAUAUGUACAAUCCUCUGAGGUAACUCUUACUUUCAUCAAUCUUUUGCUUGUGGGUUGGCUCUCACUAUUGAAUUUUAAUGUUUGGUUUGUUUUGGAUUCAAAAACCAUAUAAUUGCAGGAACGUUUCAGCUUACUUGAAGAAGAGAAUGCAAAGUUAAAGAUGCAGAUGGAGAAGUUAGAGGGCAAGCACCAGACAGAAAUGAGUACAAUGAAGCAAUAUCUUGCGGAAAGCAAAUUGCCAGGGUCUGCAUUACAGCCAUGGUUCACGGGGAAUGAGGAACAUUUAUCAGAAGACAGAACCGGUUUGGUCAAGGAGAAUGAAGAACAAACAUAUAAAAGGAAUAGGCUAUAUAUCAUAUAAAUCAACGGUUUAAAUAACAAUAUAUAAAAUAAAAGUUAAACAAACAUAUAAAAGGAAAAAUAAUAUAAGCUAACAAAAUCGAUUACAAUUGCUUUUUUAAUAUUAUUCAUAUUAUCAUAGUCAAAUUAGAAAAACACAUUAGAACAAAUUAAUCAAAAGUUUGUUGAACUUUAAAUAAUAUUAUAUGAUUUGCUCAUUUGCUCACAUGCCAGUAGAUUCUAUUUGGUACUUAAAUAAAAUAAAAUUUCAAAUACCGUUCAUAGUACUUAAAAUUUUAAAAAUGUAAUCUAAAUAAAAUAUCGACUUUAUUUUAUGUUUAAAUUUUAACUAAAUUAACUUGGUUACGAUUAUCAGCUUUUUAUUAUACUUUUAUAAAUCAAUUAGUCACAAUCACUUAUGUUAUUUCACUUUGAACUAGACAACUUCAAAAUAAAGUAAUAUCCUAUUGUUGCUACACACAAUCAAAUGAGUCGAAAAAAAUAUCAUUUUUUUGAACAUAUUUUAUUUUUAUGUUUUUGAAUAUAUUCUAUUUACUAAGAUCAUAAAAUAAAUUGUAAAUUCAUGUAAAAAUAAAACAUACGAAUCUGGCGCGUAGCGCAAGAAUACCACCGGUAUAUAUAUAUAACCUGCAUUCUUUUUAAAAGACAAUUUCGGUGUUGCACAUUUCAAGGAAGAUAAAGACGCGACCGUUGAUAAAAUCGAAUGAACAACCAAGAUCGGGUUGACACGUGACAGUGACAGGUUUGUCCGUCUUUUGUCUUUGGGAUAACGAUAUCGAACCAACUUCGUCCUCAUAGGUUUUUAAUCGUCUCACCGUCACGAUGAGAAACUAAGAUUUGUUAUGAAUCACGGAGGAUGAUCCAUAACCUAGACCAUACAAGUUCAAGAUUAGAGUCUAUUGGAGUUUUACAUCCAGCCAUAUGGAAAACCCAUAACCCAUGUCAUUAUGUAGAGUACCUUUGUAAUCAAUUCUCCCUUUAACUCCAUCUUGUAUGAACCAUUAUAUAUAGUGGUGUAAGCAAUAAGAAAUAUACAACACAUUCUCACAAAUCUUCUCUCAAAUCUUAACACGUUAUCAGUACGAGACUUUCUCCACCUGAGCAAUCCCAUCCGCCGACGAUCAUCUCUUUUCCGGCCAUCUCUUCCGGCCCUCAGCCUUGCUCCGCCGGCCAAGUCUAUCCCUUUCACGGUUUUCCGGCCAGCUCCUCCACCUCUCUCUCAACCAGCUCAUCCGCGGAUCAGCUCUCUCUCACGGUGGUCCAUUCAGAUCAAUUUGGUGUUUUCUAAAAGGUAAACUAAUCUAUCCAUAAAAUCUAAUAACACCACAUAUCUGAAUCCUGAUUAUUAGAUCUAUUUGAAUCAUAAAACUUAUAAAAAAUCUAUAGAUCUAAAAUUAUCACAAAUAUUAAUCUUGAAUCUAAGAUCUAUAUGAAUCUUGAUUCUAAAAUUAUUUGAAUCUCUAAAGAUCUAAAAAUCUUUAAAAACUUAUAAAACUUAUUAAUAAUCUAAGAUCUAUACGAAUCUUGUUUCUAAGAACUAUUUGAAAUUAUAAAAGAUAUUAGAGAAAAUCAUAAACCUCUUUUAGCUAGCAAGCCUUAAAAUCGGUUCUCCUUUCUCCUAUUUUGAUCCGGCCUUAAAUCCGGAUUGACUAAAGGAUUGAAACCAAUAAUCUUUGUUUGGCCGUAUUACCGGCUGUAUAGCCGGAUGAAUAAGCUGGCCAUCAAAAUCUUAAUCCCAUUCGAUGUGCUUACCGAUCCAAAUCGGCCCUUAUCCACAUUAAAAUCUCAAAUCCUCUUGUUUGUUUUAUAACCGGAUAUGUAUCUUGAUGGCCAUUAUACAUAUCAAUUCCCUAAAUCCUUUUUGCUUGAUUUUUAUCAAUCCCCUAAACUCUAAGCAAUAACCGGCUGAACCCCUAAAUCCAAAUCCGGCCAUGAUUUUUUUUUUCCGGCCAUGACCUUUUCCGGCCACAAUCUUUUCAGCCAUAAUCUUUCAGUCAAACCCAAAGAUAUCAAAACUUAAAUUCUAAUCAAUGCAUAUCUUUGACCAUUGAUGUUUUAUAUUGUAACUGGUCAAAAUUUAAAACUUUUAUGAUUGUUUUAAAUGCAUAUCUUUGACUAGGUAGUAUUUAUCAAAAUAUUAUAACAUAUAGUCUUGAUUUAAAUAGUUAUGACAUAGGCUAAAAUAAAUACUAAGUUGAAAUCAUUUGAUCACAUAGUUGUUUGUCAAAAUUUAUCUAAAUCUAAACCGGCCUUGAAAUCGGUUCAUUAUAGUUUGAACAAAUGAUAUAAAUUUAUCUUGAUCUAAAAACCAACCUUGAAAACUGAUUUUGUGAUGAUUGAAUUAUAUACUGAUCAUAUAUAUAUAUACCUGAUAGCAUCUAUUAGAUCAAACAUGGAUUAGUAAAUUGUUAGAUCAUACACAUAUCAUGAACUGAUCAUUUCCAUGCAUCUGCUUGUCAUAUAGUUUUAUUAAAACUGAGCAUGCAUACAUAUAAUAGAUCAUUCUAAUCAUGGGGCAUUUAAAAUAAAAUCUAAAUUGGUUCAUAUUGCUUGCAUCUAAUUAGAUUAAAUCGGUUAUUUUUAAAGUUAAGCAUGUUUGUUUAAUUUGAAAACAUAAACCAGCUUUGAAACCGAUUGAUUGAAAAUCUAAUUGAAUUUGUUCUAGACAUAUCCUGAAAAUUAUAAAAUUUUCUUGUCUUGGUUUACCCUGUAAAAGGGGGAAGGGAUCGGUUUUUGCUUUAUGAUCUUUGAAAACCAAAUAUCCUCAUGCAUUAGGAAUCACAUAUAGAUUGUUUAAGUCCAAUGCUUAGUUCUGAACAUGCAUUCAGCUAUUUCUUGAUCCAUGCAUUUGCUUGAUUUCAUCCAUCUUGCUUGAUCUCAUUUAAUAAAAUGAUGAUUGAUCCUUAUUCAAAUUCUAAAGGGCCUUAAUACCCUAUAUAUAUAAUCAAUCCAAUUUGAAUUAUAAUUAAAAAGAUUACUAGAUGCAAUGAUCAAUUGAUCAUUCUCAUACUAAGAUUGCUUAAGCCCUAUUGCUUACAUAGAAUUCUGAGUGCUUGAAUUACUCGUUAAAUAUUCAGAUGUCGAGAUUUGAACCCUCAGAUUACUCUGCCCUAAAUCUCUCUGGAGAUAAUUACCUAGAAUGGGUAAAGAAUACUCUUGUUGCCCUGAGAUCCAGAGGACUCGGACAAUGCAUCAAUGAGUACAAUGAUAUCAUUGACAGUGAAAGGCAUAGAGCUAUAACGAUUAUUCGUUAUCAUCUCACUGAGGAAUUAAGAGACCUGUAUCUCCAUGUUGAGGAUCCUUGUGACCUUUGGUUACAGUUAAGGAAAAGGUUCAAACUGGUAUCAUGGCAAAAGGCCAACCAUGAAUGGGAGAUCCUCAGAUUCCAGGAUUUUGAAUCCGUGGACAAAUAUAAUUCUGCUCUGAUGGAUAUUGCUUAUAGUCUUGAACUAUGUGGUGAAAGGAUAACACAUUAUUCUUUAUUAUAUAAGACCUACUCCACAUUCUAUCCAAAGGAUGUGCUGUUGCUACACACGGCUAAGAAGUUCACCACUUAUAAUGACCUUUUGUCAUAUCUUUUGGCUUCUGAACAAAGAAAGCAGAAAAUCAAAGAUACCAUCAACAGAUUUGACAAGCUUCAGAAAAGAUACGUUGAGCUAAAGAAUAAUGAGAUGAGGCCUCCUAUAGCUGAUGAAGCUGAAGUUGAGCGCCAUAUGGCAACACAUGCAUUGUGAAUGCCAUAUUAUAUAAUUGUCUUUUUACAUUCUCAUUUUCAUGUUUCCUGAGUUUAUGUUUCAUGAAUUGCUUUGAUACUUUGCUUUAUACACGACUUCAUUAAUAAAAUGAAUUACUUUGAGUUCAUCAUUAUCUUAUUCAAACUGUUGUUUGAUAAGAAACUAUAUCUAUAUGCCUUUAUUGUGCCAAGAUAAAUAUGAUUGAGGAUUAAUACCCCAACUCACUUUUCCAAAGAGUUCAAAGAAGCCUUUAACAAAUGGCACGACAUGCUCUGCCAUCCAGGCUCAGUUAUAAAAUACUCUUGAACUCAACUGGACAUUCCUUGAAAGAAAGGAAAAGAAGCUCGACCAAGGCUUUGCCUAAAUGACAUUAUAUUCACCCUAUAAGCUCCAUUGAAUUAAGAAGAAAAUAUGGUUUCCAACAAUGGACAAAAAGGAAUAAGAGUACCUAAAUUAAAAUCGCCUAAGUGGUCGAGACUACAUUCUCUAUUGAUCUAGUGAUCAAUAUGAUAUUAGGCAAAUAGCCAGGGCAAUCAUGUUUGAUUAACCCACGAAAUUUAUCACUUAGAUGGCAUUACCAUACUUAGCCAUUCGGAUUAUGAUGCAAAUAUUUAAAAGGGCACAAAUGUUAUCCCAUAAGAUCUCACGUGUGUGCAAUAUAUCUAUGCACAAGGAAAUUUAUUGUCCUAAGCACCACGAAUUUGAGAAUGUUCAUGAGGGGGAGUGAGGACAAAUCCCAUGAUACAUGACCAUACUAAAAUCCGUGAAAUAUGUCCACAACCAUAUUACAUAUUGGUUGAAUUUGAUAUAAAGACCAUUACCUAUAAGGUUCAAAUUCUAAAAGUCCAUAUGCUUGGGGACACCAUGAGUUAUAAAAGAAUGAACCUGCAUCAGGCCAUAGUAAUUAUAUCAGGCCAUAUAAGUGAUCAUAGAUAUUCCCACCUUAGACUUAUACGGGUCAUGAGUCCAGACAUAUAUCAUCUUAAGAUAUUAUGAAAGAAUCCACCAAAAAUAUAUGUGUCAUCUAAGAUCAUGUGAUCUUAGAAUCUCAUAAAGAGGAUUGGGAAUAUAUGUUGGAUAUAUAUUAUGAAUAUACUUUCUCCAUAAGUUUAAAAGAAAACUUGAGCCAAAAUGGGUGAUCUAAUUAUAGACCAAGGAACAAGGAUUACAUAAGGUUUAUGAAUCCGAAUAUCCAACAAUGAAAGGAGAAAANNNNNNNNNNNNNNNNNNNNNNNNNNNNNNNNNNNNNNNNNNNNNNNNNNNNNNNNNNNNNNNNNNNNNNNNNNNNNNNNNNNNNNNNNNNNNNNNNNNNNNNNNNNNNNNNNNNNNNNNNNNNNNNNNNNNNNNNNNNNNNNNNNNNNNNNNNNNNNNNNNNNNNNNNNNNNNNNNNNNNNNNNNNNNNNNNNNNNNNNNNNNNNNNNNNNNNNNNNNNNNNNNNNNNNNNNNNNNNNNNNNNNNNNNNNNNNNNNNNNNNNNNNNNNNNNNNNNNNNNNNNNNNNNNNNNNNNNNNNNNNNNNNNNNNNNNNNNNNNNNNNNNNNNNNNNNNNNNNNNNNNNNNNNNNNNNNNNNNNNNNNNNNNNNNNNNNNNNNNNNNNNNNNNNNNNNNNNNNNNNNNNNNNNNNNNNNNNNNNNNNNNNNNNNNNNNNNNNNNNNNNNNNNNNNNNNNNNNNNNNNNNNNNNNNNNNNNNNNNNNNNNNNNNNNNNNNNNNNNNNNNNNNNNNNNNNNNNNNNNNNNNNNNNNGACUGAAUUAAAUUACUACAUGUAAGCAAGUGAUGAGUUCUAUAAGAACAAUUCAAAUCAGUCCAUAGCGGAAUUUUAAAUUCCUUGUGUUUUAUACUAACCAGCCUAAGAUAGGUUAAAUGGUUAUUCAUUAAACCUUGGAAAAGUUUAUAGACCAUCACCACAAAUUAGCCAAAUUUUGGUAAUACUUAUGGUUGGUCGAAUUCUUAGCAUGAACCAACCAAGCUGUGGUAUGAAUGAAUAAGCUAUCAUAAAGAUAAGCUAUAAGAUCGAAGUUCAUCUUUGAACAAAAGGUAUAGGACCACAUUAUGCAUCCAUAUGCUACCCAACGGGUCCGACCAUCAUAUAUGAAGAUAAUGCAGCUUGCAUUGCUCAACUCGAAGACGGUUAUAUCAAAGGUGACCGAACCAAACAUAUUCUACCCAAGUUCUUCUUUACCCAUGAGUUGCAGAAAGCUGGAGAGGUCAACGUCCUUCGGAUCCGGUCUAGUGAAAACUCUGCCGACCUCUUCACCAAAUCAUUGCCCUCUUGCACAUUCAGGAAGUUCACGCAACAAGAUUGGCACACAUAGACUCAAGGACCUUCAGUGAUGUCCAAAUCAGGGGGAGUAAUGUGUGUUGUACUCUUUUUCCUUUCUCUGGUUUCUCUUUUUACCACAUUGGGUUUUGGGUUUUCUGGGAGAGGUUUUAAUGAGGCAACAUUAGCAUGUUACAAACCCUAUAUGGUUAUGGCAUCCAAGGGGGAGUGUUAUGAAUCAUGAAGUGGAUGGUCCAUAACCUAGACCAUACAAGUUCAAGACUAGAGUCCAUUGGGGGUUUACAUCCAGCCACAUGGAAGACCCAUUCAACCUUAUGUCUUUAUGAGUUUGACCAUGUCAUUAUGUAGAGUAUCUUUGUAAUCAAUUCUCCCUUUGACUCAACCUUGUAUGAACCACUAUAUAUAGUGGUGUAAGCAAUAACAAAUAUACAACACAUUCUCACAAAUCUUCUCUCGAAUCUUCGCUUAUUCUUUCUUUUUUUUAUAUAUAUCUUUGGAUGUAAUGAUAAAGUUGACAACACUAAAAUCUGGAAAGACUCUUGGAUUUCUCUAGACUCAUAACUGAAACCAUUUAGAACCCAUACAAGAACACGCUUUAGAUCUAACAGUAGCGGAUCUCCUCACGACAGACAUGAAGUGGAACAAAAAGAGAGUAGAAGAACUUUUACCUCAGGUGGCUACUGAAAUUCAGCUCCUGCAUCCUGGCCACGCAAACACAGAGGACAUCUUUAUAUGGCAACCGCUAUAGUCUGGCACUUACACCACAAAUUCGGGCUACUAUGCAGCAUCUACAAAGAAUUUAACACCUCUUAAUGCUACCACGGAGACAUUUGAGUGGAACAAAGAUGUGUGGUCUGUAAAAUGGUCACCGAAAAUGAAACUUUUCUUGUGGUCAGUAGUCCAAGAAGCCAUACCGCUGGAGGAGCAACUGCAAAAACGUGGAAUUAACUCAGAUGUGAGGUGUAUCAAAUGCAAAAGUUGUGAAACUGUGAUGCACACCUUUUUCUCUUGCCCUUUUGCUCAAGAAGUCUGGAAGCUAAUCCCCCUGAGACAAGUAGUUCACUUAGCUACGGAUAUGAACUUCAAGCAAGCCCUAGUAGAAUUCAGGACCGCAGUAUGUCUUCCUCCAACAGGUGUCCCGACGAUCAUCUUCCCUUGGGUCCUUUGGGCAAUUUGGUCUACUCGCAACUUGCAUGUGUGUUUGAGAAUCGGCUCCUAUCAUCUAUGGAAACUGCGACAAAAGCGCUUAGUCUAGCAGAAGAAUGGAACAAAGCACAACAACAGGUUCAAUCUGUGAACAAAGUGGUACCUGCAGCAAGAAGAUCGAAAGGAAACACCAUUGAAAGCAUUGCCUUUACGAAAACAACGUUUUGCGGUUUGAAUAACACUUAUAUAACCCUUAUUAAGUGUCUUAGACUGAUUAUGAAGUCAAAAAUUUGUUCCUUACCCUAUAAUAAACACUUUUCCGAUUGUAUGAACGAAAUCCCCACAACAUAAGAGAAACACUUAUACACUUUAAUGAACAGUAAAGGGAAUACUUACAAUUCGUUUAGAAAUUUUGUUAUUUCAUAGUUUAUGAUCAUCUAUACAAAGAUUCCUCAAUGGUAUGCAUUGCAUUUGUAUAAGAAAUGAUAUAGGGCAAAAAAAAUUGAUGUUUUGAAACCCCAAACAUGUGUUCCUCGGAAUAUUCCGAGGAAAUUCCGAGGAACAAUAUAAACCAACAGAAAUACAUGCAUAGGAUAUUCUUUUUCCUCGAAUUAAUGAAAUAUCCGAGGAAAUUCCGACGGAUAUUUAAGUGUCCGUCGGAAUUUCCUCGGAUUUUUUUCAUUUAACCAGGCAAACCAGCCGCGAAAUAUUUCGCGAAAAUUGAAAUUGAAAAACCGAGGAAAUUCCAACGGAAACUAUCCGUCGGACCCUAGGUUUUAUAACGCCGAGACACUUCUUCUUCCCCAUUUCUCUCUUCUUCCUCUCCGGCUCCUCUCCCUCCUCUCUGGCGAUCUCCCCCUUAUCUCUCUUCUUCCUCUCCGGCGAAUCCUCUCUAAACCUACACAAAUCAUGUAAGGACCCUAUCUCACUCUCUUAGGUUCUAUUUGUUAGGUUUUUGUGUAGAUUUGAUAGAUUUUUGUUAGGGUGAUUGGUUAGGAUUGUGAUUUGGUUGUAUAAUAGGUUUAGAAUUGUGAUUUGGUUGAAUAAUUUGUUUUGUUGAAUUGAUUUAGAAUUUUUUUAUAAUUUUUUUAUUUUUUGUAUUUAUAAAAUCGAUUUUUGUAUAUAAAAUCGAUUUUUGUAUUUUACAAAACGAUUUUUCUAUAUAAAUUCGAUUUUUUGGAUUUUACAAAAAAAAAUUUCUAUAUAAAUUCGAUUUUUUGGAUUUUACAAAACAUUUUAAAUAUCUAUAAAACUUUUUUUGUGAUUAAAUACUAUUAUUUGGGAUUUAAAAAUAUUUUUCAUAUAUAUAUAUUAUUAAAACUAUUUUUUUGUAAUUAUUAAACAAUUUUUAUUUAUUAAAACUAUUUUUUGUUUAUUAGAACUAUUUUUAUAUAUUUAUUAAAAAAAUUUAAUAUAUAUAAAUCUUUUUCUGUGAUUAAAUUAUUUGGGAUUUUUUUUUAAAAAAAAAAAUUAAUUUAUAUAUUUCUGUAUUUAUUAAAUAUUUUUUUUUAAUUUACAGGUCUCAUGAUGAUCAGACCCGGCCUCGACAGCGUCGUGGUCGUGGUGGUACGGGGAGCCAGUCUCGGGAUUCCAGCCAUUUUCAGGAUUCCCCUUCGCCCCACAGCUCCUACCAUACAUCUCCCUCUGCUGCACCCGCUCCUGCUCCUCUCGCUCCCGCUGCUGCACCCGCUCCUGCUCCUCCGGGUCCUCCGGGAGUGAUGAGUGUUGCGGAGUUGGUUCGACAGCCCGGUCGUGACCAUCUUCCCUAUCUCACUCCGUAUCCACAUGGACGGGGUCAAACAUGGUAAUUAAACAUAUUUUUUUUUCAUUAAAAUUUGAUUCAUUAUUAACCGUUUGUUCUUUUUAUUAGGUUCAACCGAUCCGGGAACGGGAUCAGCGCAUGGAUCAACCGUAUGAUGUACUCGGCCCUCGACAAGGGACAUCCGACUUUCACUCACUUCCCUACCGACAAGCAGCAUCUGUGGUUUCGUCAGUUUGCGGUAAGUAUUCUAAUUUUUUACUUAUAUUUUUAAUCUUUAAUAUAUAUUUUCUACUAAUUGUGUUUUUUUUCAGCAAGAAUUCAACUGGAAUUCCGAUGAGACGCUCUUUAUCUAUCACCACUUCGUCCAUAAAGUUAUGGACAACUAUGGGAAGCAGAUCCACGAGUGGAAGAAGAAGUGGGAAAUCAACAAGGUUGUUUUUAAUUUAUUAAACAAUUUUUUAAUUUAUUAAACAAUUUUUUUAUUUAUUAAACUAUUUUCUUUUUUUUUAUUAAAAUGUCCCAAAGUCGAUAAACAACACGGUCUGGACGGAGUUGUGUGUGCAUUGGGAUAAGGAAGAGACGAAAGAAACUUCUUCCACCAACUCCACCAACCGCAGGAGUGACCGUAAAGGGAAGGGCGUCUUCAAGCAUAACUUGGGUGCUCAAUCUAUUGCCUCUCUGGGGGAUCGCAUGGUAAGUUCAGCUGUUUUUUCUUCAAUUAUUUAAGUUUUGAAAUUUUACUUUUUGUCCAUUUUAUCGAAUUUCUAAUGUUUCUUUAAUUUAUGUUUUUUUCAAGGCGGAAGAAAAUGAUGGCGAGCCGGUUGAUGAUCUCGCCCUAAUGAAGAGGGCGUAUACCAACAAGAAGACCAGCCAGAUUGAUGACGGUCUUGUGAGGGAAGUGGUCACCCUGGUCCAAACUCAGGUGCAAGACGAAGUGUCUCAGCUUCAAACCGAGGAUGACGCUUCGACGGCUUCGACCAACUUGUCCCGGUUUCGAAUCAACGAAAUGGUUGAAUCCGUAAGUUCUUUUUUUAAAGUUCAAUUCAUUUAUUUCUUGAUUUAAAUUUGGCUAUUUUCUAUUUCACUCUCAUCCAAAGAAGAAGGGACGUUUGGUCGGUUUGGGUCGUCGCACCCGGUCGGUUCGGGUCGUCGCACCCGGUCGGUUCCUCCGUCUUCUGCACCACCGCCCUUUGUUGAUCCAGAAGUACUUACGGCUCAGUUGAAGGACAAGGAUGAUCGCAUAUCUUUGUUGGAGACCCAGAUGGCGGCUCAACAGGCGGGCUAUGAGGCAGAGAGGAGGCUGAACCAGCAAAUGAUGGAGAUGAUGCAGAGGAUGUACCCGAACGAGGUGUUCCCGAACGUGCAAGACCCGUAGUUUUUUCUUUUCAAAAACUCGGAAUGUUUUAUUUUUAUUUGUACAACUUUGAAUAUUAUCUAAUAUUUUUUCAAUUUUAAUUUUAAUUUUAUAUUUUCGAAUUUAAAUUUCAAAAAUUUUAUUUUUUUAAAAAAAAUUAAUUUUUUUUGAAAUUCCGAGGAAAUGAACCCUCGGAAAUUUCCGAGGAACAUUUCCUCGGAAUAUACCGAGGGACUUCUUCCUCGGAAUAUACCGAGGGACUCAUUCCUCGGAAUUUUCCGAGGGACUCAUUCCUCGGAAUUUUCCGUCGGAACUUCCGAGGAUUGGACCAUCGGAAAGUCCAUCGAAAUAUCUCGAGGAAGUUCUCCCUCGGUAUAUUCCGAGGAGCUUUCCGACGAACUGGUGGUCCUCGGAGUUUCCUCGGAAUUCCGUUGGAAAUUUCCGAGGGAUUUCCGAGGAAAAAUGAAUUUCCGAGGACUUGUUUCGUCGGUAUGUCGUCGGAAUAACGUUAUUCCGACGACAUACAUUCCGACGAUAUACCAACGAUUUUUUCCCUCGAUAUGUCGCUGUUUUCUUGUAGUGCCAUUGAGCCGGUUAUGUGAGAGAUCCAACUGGUUUAGCCAUGUUAGCUUGCUAAAUAAGGAAGGAACCUGACCUAUGAAGCUAUUAGAGGAAAGAGACAAAACCUCUAAUCUGCUGAGGUUGCUGAACUCGGAAGGGAGUGAAGAGGAAGUGAAGUUGUUAUGAGAGAGAUUUAGGUGACGGAGAUGACGCAAAUGGAAGAGGCUACUGUUUGGCUUGAGAACUCCAGUGAGGCAGCCACUUGGGAGUUGUAGCUCGGUGACGGCACCAGUGGCGUUGUCGCACUGAACUCCAUUAAGGUAAUCAGUUUGGUUGCAGUUUCUGGAAUCAAACUCGUUCUUGAACUGAUUAAGUGCAUGAAUCUGGUCGGGAUGACAACCGGAAAGUCCAACAACAAGAGUGAAGCUUGAAGUAAAGAUGACAAAGAGUGAGAUAUAACGCAAAAGCAGAUGUAAUCCCGACAUGAUGGUCGUCAUGAAAACUUGCAAGAGGAAUGUUAUUCUUUAAAGAAAAGAGAUGAAGAAGAUUGGUAUAAAUAAAGAUACAAGGUCAUGCAUUGUACAAAAUAUCUUCCCAAGAAGUUAGAGAUAAGUGAAGUAUCUGUCUCUGUCUCCAUGAGAGAGCCAUCAAUAAUUGAUAUUUGUAACUUAAAUGCGAUCCCUUCUUCCUUGAUCCCGUGGCUAUGCUUCUCUCUCUCUGUUUAUCAUUUAUUCAAAAGUAGGUGUUUGCAUUUGACUUCACUAAAGUUGCGAUUUUAACUUAUUUAAAAUGGAAUUAGAAAAGAGCAUGCACUACGUAUCUACUUUAUUUUUGUCGAGCAAGAUUAUUUAUACUUCUUUUGCGGUUGUAUAUGGGACAGUAAGAAAAUCAAUUAACAUAGAUAAGAACACAAAGAAAAUAAAUAAUUGCAGGCUUGCAGCAUGAUGACUAAUAACAUAGGUUGUUGAAACUUUGUUUUCUCUUUUAAAUAUUUUUGCAUUAUUGAAUAUAAGAAUUUAUGGCCUUAGAGCAUCACCAUCGGUGAAGUUCUAAAAACCAGUAUAUUAACCAUUAAAUAUUAAUAUUACAGCAUAAUAAAAUUUUCUGAUUAACUUUUAUUUUGUUUGUAAAUGAUAAGCCAUUUAUAUCAUGACAUAUGGCAACUUGUGUCAUAAAACCGUUUCUAAAAAUCCUUUGCAAAGAACUUUUUCUAACUGUCUUUCUCCUUAUGCUAUUAUUUUAAUAUUUAAUUUUUUUUAAGGACCCUGUCAAAAAGCAACCGAUGGAGCUGGUCUUAGGCCCUUACGGUGAAAUGACAUUAAAUGUGAUUUGCGGAUUUGGUGAAGACUUGGUUAAGUUUUAAAGUGUAGGUAACCUUUUUUGCACUAUCUUUUUUUGUCUGCUUUGUUCGUUCAAGAAGUUUGUUUAUGCCAAUUCUGUAUAUCCAUGAGGUCAUUGUCAAAUUCAUCUUUCAAGUUUGAAGAUAUUAUCAACUCUCUCCCACCUGGAGUUUAUUAAAAAAAAUUAACUAUUUUACACGGCUCGGUUGUGUCUAUGUUUUAUUCAAGUAAUCAAAUCCGAGGAUAAUAGAUAACACUAACGUCGCUGCAUUUUAUUUUUCCAAAUAAGCUCAAAGAGGAUGAUGGUUAGCAGUGGCAUUCAGUUAAACUGAUAUAUAUUCUUGAGACCUGUAUAAUCUUAUAGUCUCCGACUCUCUUUACAUUCACUUAAUCCAAUUUGUCUAAACAGGAAGCUGAAAAAUUGGAGAAGAACCAAAGCAGUAUAUAACAAGCCUUUCCAAGACAUCAUCGGCCAAGUGAGAGGUUUCAUUUAAGAGAGCAAAGGUUAUAGAAACUUGUAAGACUUAUUUCUUACCUCAGUAACAAAUUAAUUAUCAACAUACUAUAUUUACAUAUGAUUACUAGAACUGUCCCAUCUUGAAUCUAGAGAGUCAAACAAGCUAGCUGGAUCUGCUUCCUUGUGCUUAUCCGGACCAACUAUCUUGACAAACCACUUUGGCAUGUAUGAAGCAAUAACAUGUGCUAUUACCAAUCCAAAUAACAAGCCAGGUCCAUACCCUAUAACCACCGCUUUCCAGUUUAAAACACCUUCCUCUUCAUCUUCUUCCUUAAACUGUUGUGUCGGUGGUGGUGCAAAGCAACUUCCUUGGAGAGGAAGACCACAUAGACCUGCAUUUCCUUCAAAUGAUGUUUCAGCUUGCCCACUAAACUGUGGUCCUUGUGGUAUUUCGCCUAUGAGCUGGUUAUGAGCCACACUUAUGUACGCCAAAAAUGAAAGUCUCGCAAGUCCUUUAGGAAUAGUCCCCGAGAGUUUGUUUCCUGACAGGUCAAGUGACUCGAGCUCUGUAACAUUUUCCAUAGACAGAGGAAUAUGACCAGUAAAUCCAUUGUUUGAUAAGUUGAGAGCAAUCAGUGCCUUCAAAAGACCAAUGGAUUCAGGAAUCUGUCCUUCAAAUCUGUUUCCAGAAAAAUCGAUGGUGGCAUAGGAAGUGAGGACCUUUCCUUGCUCCAUGAAUAGACCUUUGUAUUGCAAGUCCAUGGUAUCUUCGUAGAUAUAAUAAGCGUUGUUGUAGUCUCCCAUAUAUAUUCUUCCAUCAUCAUUCGUCUCGAGUGAUGAUGCUUUCCAAUUCACAAAGUAAUUUGAUGGCAAGCUUCCUGUAAAGUUGUUAUCCGAUAUUUCAAGUAUGUGCAGCUUGGGAAACGCAAGAGGAACUUCACCAGGAAGAGAUACAGGGCCAUAAAAUUUGUUUGAACGAAGGGUAAGGACUUGUAAACCAGGCAAAGCCUUGAGCCAAAAAGGAAAUGUGUCUUUGAUUUUGUUGUUGUCCACACUUACAAACCUUAGCGAAGAGCAAUUCAGAAGAGACCUUGGAAGCUUCCCAGUUAAUUGAUUGUAGCCUACGUCAAGUGUCCGCAGCAACGAACCAUUGUAGAGCAUAUCUGGAAUACUUCCUUCCAAGUUGUUCUUCCUGAGAUUCACGACAACGAGAGAGUCUUUGAGGUUACUCAAACAUCGAGGAAUCGGACCGCUUAAGUUGUUGUAGGAGAGAUCAAGAAUAACCAGCGAGCUCCGGUUGCAAACUGAAAGAGGUAUGUUUCCUGUGAAACUAUUGUUCCAUGCAGAAAAGAGGUUGAUAGAGAGUGGUGGAGUAGGAACUGGUCCUUCAAAAUGGUUUAAAGCCAAAUCUAAUAUCCUCAACGAUGAAUUCGUUAAAACGUCAUUUGAACCUUCUAAAUGAGUGAAAGCAUUGUUGACAAGAUUGGCCCUGAUCAGAUGAGGAAGGUUCCAAAGCCACUCAGGGACUUUCCCUUUAAUUUUAUUAUUGGAAAUGUCUAUAUGUUCCAAUCUAUCAAGGCUCCGUACAAAUUCUGGGAACUUGCUGAUGUCACAGCUUGACAAGAGCAAUUUCUCUAUGUUACGUGGGACGUCUGAAUCUGAACUUAUACUAGUUUCCAAUACACUAUUACCGGAAAGAUCAAGUCUCAACAAAGAUUUGAGAGAGGAAAAAAAGUUUAAGUUAAUUGGGUAGCUUAUGUUUUGGAAAGAAAGGCCAAGAUAUUUAAGGGUGGUGAAGUUUGAGAUAAGGUCUAGGAUUUUUCCUUCGAAAGGGUUUUUUCUAAGGUGCAGAGUUUCGAGCCGGGAAGAAGUAGAUGAGCUACGAACUUCAACAGGAUCGGUGAGAUGAUUUUCAUCGAGAUUAAGAUAUGACAAGAAAGGCAUAGUGAGGAGAGAGGAAGGGAUGGCUCCAGAGAAGUGAUUAAGAGAUAGGUUCAAAAUGGAGAGGCUGGUUAUAUUUUGUACGAGUGGGAAACCACCUGUGAGCUCGUUAUGGUCAAGAUACAACUCGGUUAGCCGACUCAAGUUACUUAAUGAGGAAGGAACUUGACCUAUGAAGCCAUUAGAGGAAAGAGACAAGACCUCUAACUUGUUGAGACUGCCGAAUCCAGACGAGAGUGAAGAGGAGGUAAACUUGUUGUAAGAGAGAUUGAGGUAACGAAGAUGGUUAAAUCCAAAGAGACUACUGUUGGUUUUGAGAACUCCAGUGAAGCAGCCACUUGGGAGUUGUAGCUUCGUGACCUCACCCGUAAUGUUAUCGCACAUGACUCCAUUGAAGUAGUCAGUUUGGUUGCAACCGCUGUAAUCAAACUCGUUCUUGAAUUGCACAAGUGCUUGAAUAUGGUGGGGACCACAACCAGAAAGUCCAGCAACAAGAGUGAAGUUUGGAGUAAAGAUAACAAAGAGUGAGAGAAAAGGAAAAAGCAGAUUUAAUCCCGACAUGAUGAUCGUCAUGAAUUUUUUUUUAAGAAGAAUGGUAUUCUUUAUAGCAAAGAGAUGAAGAAGAUUGGUACAUCGUCAUGCGUUGUUAAAAUAUCUUGCCAAUGAAUAAUUGAGGCAUGGCUAAUCAAAUAAAUUGGUGAGACUUUGUUUCCUCUUUGAGAUGAAGAAGAUUGGUACAUCGUCAUGCGUUGUUAAAAUAUCUUCCCAAUGAAUAAUUGAGGCAUGGCUAAUCAAAUAAACUGGUGAGACUUUGUUUUCUCUUAAAAAUUUCCUGCGCUAUUAAAUUUAAGACUUUAUGGCGUUGUGAUUGUGGUUGGAUAAGACUUGGUCAAGUUUUAAAUAGUCGGUAACCUUUCUUGCACUAUCUUUUUGUGUUUGCUUGUUCGUUCAAGAAGUGUGUUUCGGCUAUAGUAAACUCAAUGUAUAUCAAUACAACUAUAGUAAACUCAGAUUUCUUAUUUGAUUGAAAAGGAAAUAGCACAAAAUAUCAUAAAAUUAUAUAAAAACAUAAGGAACUGAUACGCUACCAGACCAUCAAACUCUUGACAGACAUUCGAAGAUUAAGUGAAAACUGAAAGAAUACUAAUGGUUUAUGCGCUUUCACUGGUACAUUAUCUUGAUGAGCCACUCUGGCUUGUAUGAAGCAAUGACUUGUGCGACAUUCGAAGAUUAAGUGAAAACUGAAAGAAUACUAAUGGUUUAUCCGCUUUCACUGCUGGCACAUUAUCUUGAUGAGCCACUCUGGCUUGUAUGAAGCAAUGACUUGUGUUAUUGCCAAUCCAAGCAACACUCCAGGCCCAAACCCUAUUGCCACACCCCUCCAGUUCAACACUUCUUCCUCCUCUUUUUCUUCUUCUUCUUCUUCUUCCUUAGGUUGUUGUGUUGGUGGCGCGAACUCCAGUUCAACACUUCUUCCUCCUCUUUUUCUUCUUCUUCUUCUUCCUCUUCCUUAGGUUGUUGUGUUGGUGGCGCGAAGCAACUUUCUUCGAGAGGCAAACCACAAAGUCCUGCAUUCCCUUCAAAGGAGGAUUUAGAUUGCCCAGUGAUUUGUGUUCCUUGUGGUAUUUCACCUUUGAGCUGGUUAUGAGACACGUUUAUGUGCGCCAAAAACGAGAGGCUCUUGAGUCCACUUGGAAUAGUCCCGGAGAGUUGGUUUCUUGACAGGUCUAGUGACUCGAGCUCCGUAACAUUGGCCAAUGCGAGAGGGAUAUGGCCUGUGAAUGCAUUGUUGGAUAAGUUGAGUGCAAUCAAUGUCUUCAAGAGGCCAAUAGAUACUGGGAUUUGUCCUUCAAUCUUGUUGCCAGAAAGAUCGAUGGCGCUGUAGAAAGUAAGGAUGCCCAUUUGCUCCAUUGAUAGACCUUUGUAUUGCAAGUCUAUAAGAUCAUCAUAUGUAGAGGCACCAAUAUCUUCUGCCAUAUACAUGGUCCCAGCUCCAUUAAUCUUGAGUGAUGGUGAUUUCCAGUUCACAAAGUAGCUUGGCGGCAAGCUUCCAGUAAAGUUGUUAUCAGAUAUUUCAAAAAUGUGAAGCUCAGGAAACGCUAAAGGACCUUGGUCAGGCAAAGAUAUUGGACCAUAGAAUUUAUUUGAACGAAGCUUAAAGACUUGCAAGUUAGGCAAAUCCUUGAGCCAGAAAGGAAACGUAUCUUCGAUUCUGUUGUGGUCCACACUUAGAAACUUAAAAGAAGAGCAAUUUAGAAAGGACCUUGGAAGCUUUCCGGUUAAUCGAUUCUCGCCAACAUCAAUUGUCCGCAGGGAGGUUCCUACGUUGAACCUGUCUGGAAGAUUGCCUUCCAAGUUAUUCUUCCGGAGUUUCACUAUCUUGAAGUCAUUCAGACAUUGAAGAAUUGGACCGGUGAAGUUGUUGUAGGAUAAAUCAAGAACAGUAAGAGAGGUUCGGUUGCAGAAUGAAAGAGGUAUGUUUCCUGUGAAAGUAUUGUUCCGUGCAUAGAAGGCGUUGAGGGAGAGUGGUGGGAGAGGAAUUUCUCCUUCAAAAUGGUUAGACUGAAUAUCUAACAUCUGCACUGAUGAAUCCACUAAAACUUUUCUUGUCCCUUGGAAACCGUUGAAAUAAUUAUUGCCAAGAAGUACCGUGCUUAGACUAGGAAGGGUCCACAACCACUCAGGGACUUUUCCUUUGAUUCUGUUUGAGGAUAUACUUAAACCCCGCAAGUUGUUUAGUGUCUUUAAGACAUUUGGAAACUCGUUGAGGUCGCAGUACGACAUGACCAAGGUUUCCAAGUUUGGUGGGAUAUCGGAAUCAGCACUUAAACUAGUAGCCAGUAAACUAUUACCAGAAAGAUAAAGGUCCAACAAAGAUUUGAGAGAUGAGAGGAGCCUUAAGUCAAUUGGGUAGCUGAUGUUUAGGAAAGAAAGGUCGAGACGCUUGAGGUUGAUGAGUUUUGAGAUAGGCUCUAAGAUUUUUCCUUCAAAUUGGUUUUUCCCAAGGUUCAAGAACUCGAGACUAGAUGAAGUAGAGGAGUCUGGAACUUCAUGAGGACCGGUUAGAUGGUUAUCAUUCACAUUGAGAUAAAACAGGGAAGGCAUUGUGAAGAUAGAUGAAGGUAUGGUUCCGGUGAAUAGAUUUUGAGAUAAACUCAAGACCGAGAGCUUGGUUAGAUUACUUAUGAGUGGGAAACUACCAAUGAGCUUAUUUUUGGAAAGUUUUAAAAUGGAAAGUUGGCUUAGAUUACUAAUUGAAGAAGGAACUUCGCCAAGUAAGCCGUUCGAGGAAAGAAUCAAGACCUCUAAUCUGUUGAGAUUGCCGAACUUGGAAGGGAGUGUAGAGGAGAUGAAGUUGUUGUUGCUGAGAACAAGGUGACGGAGUUGUUGGAACCCAAAUAGGCUACUGUUGGGCUUCAGAGUUCCACUUAGACAGCCCGUGAGAUGUAUCUUGGUGACUGCACCCGUGGAGUUGUCGCACCAAGCUCCAUUAUUAGAGUAGUCGCUAUGGUUGCACGAACGAGUAUCAAACUCGUUUGUGAACUGCGUAAAAGCUUCAAUCUGGCGAGGAAGACAAGCAACAAGACCAACGACAACAUCAUCUACAUCAAUAGUAGAUGAGCUUGAAAGAAAGGCACAAGAACUUAGUAAAAGUAGCGAGAGAAAAUGCAAACGUAAAAGAGUUUCCGGCAUGGUCGUCAUUUAAAAUCUUUUUUCUUUUUCGUUUUAUGGUAAGAAGGAUAUUUUCUAUCUUUGUUUGGCUAAGAACUGAGCGAGAAAAUGGUAUAAAUAAAGAUGUGUGGUGAUGAAUAUGUCUAUACGACUAUACGCGGGAAACUCUCUUUGUCAAACAGUAAACUCGCAUUGUAGGGCUAAUGAGUGACGUCUUGCUGGUCGUAGAUGUUCUUGAAUUUUCUUGCGCUACUAAAUUAACAAAGACAAGGAUAAUGAGCAAAAUUAAAAAAGUAAUUAAAUUGUGUUUGUUGAAACUUUUAUAUUCUCUGAAUUUUCUUGCGCUAUCAGAUUUUAAGGGUUCUGGCUUUACUAUGGAACGGCAUUAAAUUUUAUUGUAACCUUCUGAUUUUUCUGGGCAUUGGACUACAAAGACAGAAUCUCUUUUGGUUGCACUCAACGGGCCAGCAUAAUUUAAUGAACAAAAUGCAUUGACUCAAUAUUUCUGCCCAGCAAAUCCCAACUAUCCCAACUAUCUUGCAGGAAGCUAUAGAUAUCUCUUCUAGUCCUCUACGUAUUAAAGUUUACUGUUAUUAACCACAAACCUGCAUAUUUUUUUUGUAAAAAAUUUGAAAAAUACAGAUUCUGGCUAAAAUUACAAAAUAAGAUUUAUUUUCAAAACGGAAAAUUAAAUUUCCACCAAACGAAUUUUCUCAAUUCCUUCGAAAAUACAUUUUUCUGGCAAAACCGAAGUAUUUUCUCGCAAAAUUAGUUGAACCAUUUUCACUCAAAACGAAAAAAAAAUUACAUUUUCAAAUUUUGGUCAAAAUUAUAUAACAAAUUUCCUACAUUUUUUCAUAUGAGAAGUGUGUCACACGACACAUGUCAGGUGGCAUGUGUACGAGUCAUGAAGUUCAUGAAGUAAACUCCAGGUCGUCAUCUCUUUCACACUGUUGAUGUUAGAAGUUUUCAAGGUUCGUAAAACAAAUGAUGUAGUAUAAAAGAUUGUCGAACCAAUUCUAAGGGAUUUCAAGCACUGAGAGUGCAAGUACUUGCUUAAUCUAAGUGCAUCUGAUGAUUUAAAAGGUUUUCUAAACUAACGAUUAAUACUAAUGCAUUUGCAGAAUAAUAAAAGCGAUAAAUGAAACGACUUUCUUAACUAAGAUAAAAGAGAACUCAUGGGUAUAGGAAUUAGACCUUGGGUGAUCAAGUUUCGAACUAAGGAUGGCAAAUGAUCAAUCAAACUAUCAACCUUAAGCUUAGACACAAUCUUAAACAAACUCUAUGUCUAGAUGAAUGUUCAUUUACUAACAUAUUUCAAACAUCAAAUGUCUUUGGUUGAAUAAUAUGAAAGCAAUCAUUACUAACAAGUCUAUUGGCUAUCUUAACACCUUUAACAACAAAUGUCUUUGGUAAAGUAUGUUAAAAGCUUAAGAGAGUUGUCUCAAGCAUUUCAUCAAACACCUUGUGGGUGGGAAAUGCCUAAAGAUCAACUUUUGAGAGGCCAACGCAGAAGAUGCAUUAUGAAUACUCUACUAGCAAGGAAUAAGAAGGAUCUACACAAUAACAUCCUAGAUCUAGCCUAAUCACCCUUAAUCUCCCUAACCCAUGAAUUCAAGAAUGGAUUACUCACUACUCUUCAUGAUUCCUCUUAAACCCAUAUUGAAACAACAGGAUUGCAAAUAACAGAAAAUCAAUUGAAUUCAAAAAGAUGAACUUUCCAAGAGGUUUUUGGUGGUUUCUUUUUGAUAAAAGAUAAUCAGCCUCCCAUGGCUUACAAAAGGUACUUAAACAUAGGUUUAGAAAGUGUAAAACAUGCAUAAUGAAAUGACCAAAAGGCCCUUGAGUAGAAAUGUAUUCGAGCAAACAGAAGGCGCGCAGCGACCUCCAGUAGUCGCUCCGAGAGGUCGCUCCAGGCUUCGGGAGCGACCUGGAGGGGUCGCUGCGAGACGUCGCUCCGGGUCGCUCUUCGCGAGCGACCUCGCUGUGUCGCUCCGGUCACGUCGCUCUCAGCUGGAGCGACCUUAUGGUGUCGCUUCGGAACGUCGCUGUAAGGUUGCUCUCGUGCCUUCGAGCGAUCUCCCAGCUGGAGCGACCUUAUGGCGUCGCUCCGGAACGUCGCUGUAAGGUCGCUCUCGUGCCUCCGAGCGAUGGAGACGCGAGCAAUAUCGGGGUGUCGCUCUGGCCAAGUCGCUCUGAAAGGGUGUCACAGCGACUUCACGGUGUCGCUCCGGUGAGGUCGGUCUCAUGCACUGCUCGUCCAAUGAUCACCUUUAUCACCUCUUUUGGGCUCCAAAUGCAUCCAAAUGUCUCCAAGAACUCCAUGUGGUACUUCAAUACCUGAUAAAGACUCAUGUAUGCAAAAUGCAACCUAAACAUGGCUAAAUCCUAGUCUAUAUAAUCAAAAUGCACAUGGGUGAAUGAAUAAAAUAGUGGAAAUAUGCAAGAUAUCAACUGUCUAGAUAAAACUGAAUUUUUUUUUUUGUUAGAAAGAAAAAAAAUAAAACUGACCGGAAAAAAUAAAUAAAUCAGUUUUGUCUAUACAGUGUGAAAGAGAUGAUAAUUUACAAUCUCGUUGGAUACAAAAGAACCAGUACGUUCACACUUCUUAGUUCACACUAGCUUAGCAACCAGAUAAACCCUACGUGUAUUUUUUUUUUCUUUUUUGUAACUGGAUGCUACAUGUAUCGCACAACGCUCCACUGGAUUAAUCGCAACCAAAUAAAUCCAACAUAAGAGUGUGUGGUUUUCAAUGGUUUGGUGAAACUUUAAUCUUCUCUUGUAAUUUUAGCCAAAUAAAUCCAACAUAAGAGUGCGUGGUUUUCAAUGGUUUGGUGAAACUUUAAUCUUCUCUUGUAAUUUUCUAGUAUCAUAUUUAUGAGAUUGUUGAAUGAAAUUAUGAAUUAUAAAGAACUCGCGCUAAUUUGUUUGUGAAUUGGAGAAGACAUCGUCAAACACACAUAGAGUGACGUGACAAACUGAGGAGAGAAGAAUGCAUAUACAAACUUUGGGAAUUAUUAUCACUAAAAAAACAAAUAUACAGUAUGAGCAAAAAGUGGUGGUCUAAACAAAAGGAAACUGAAUUGUGAAGCCCUAAAGAAACUCCAGAGAUAAUCUCAAGAACUCGAAUCUGAAAUUGCCAAAUUACAUUUCUCGGUGGGAAACACUCUCUCUUUACCAAUGAGUUUCCUUUUCAGUUCAAUCAAGGUAGACCACUGAGAGGGUUGAGGAUAACUAUAAGGACCCCGUAGAGUAUGGUUUGAGAUUGAAUUUUUGAAACCUGUAUGAUCUUAUAGUCUCCGACUCUCUUAUGUUCACUUCAGGACAUUAAUCAUCAGCCAAAAAACGAUCUCAACUAAGACCUCUUUCUUGCAUAAUUUGAAAACAUUUCCACAAACAAUAGUUACGUAAAACUUUCACGUUCUACAUGAUUAUUAUAAGUAUCCCAUCUUGAAUCCAAAGACAUAAAUAAUCUACCUGGUUUUACUUCCUUGUGCUUAUCCAGACCAACUAUCUUGAGAUACCAAUACCACUUCAGCUUGUAUGAAGCAGUAACAUGAGCCAAUAACAAUCCAGGCCCAUACCUUAUAACCACUGCUUUCCAGUUCAACACUCCUUCCUCUUCUUCAUCUUCUUCCUCAAAACUGUUGUGUCGGUGGUGGCGCAAAGCAACUUCCUUGGAGAGGAAGACCACAUAGACCUGGAUUCCCUUCAAAUGAUGAUUCAGCUUGCCCACUAAAUUGUGGUCCUUGUGGUAUUUCGCCUUUGAGUUGGUUAUGAGCCACACUUAUGUAUGCCAAAAACGAGAGGCUCUUGAGUUCUCGAGGGAUUUCACCUGAUAGUUUGUUUCUUGAUAGGUCUAGUGACUCAAGCUCCGUAACAUUUUCCAAAGACCGAGGAAUAUGGCCUGUGAAGGCGUUGUUUGAUAAGUUAAGUGCAAUCAAUGUCUUCAAGAGGCCUAUAGAUUAAGGAAUCUGUCCUUCAAGUCUGUUUCCAGAAAAAUCAAUGGUGGCAUAAGAAGUAAGAACCUUCCCUUGCUCCAUGAAUAGACCUUUGUAUUGGAGAUCUAUGGUAUCUUCAUAUAGAUAUAGCCAGGAAUUUCGUUGUAGUCUCCCAUAUACAAACUCCCAUCUUCGGUCAUAACUUUCCAGUUCACAAAGUAAUCUUGGGGAAAGCUUCCUGUAAAUUUGUUAUCAGCUAUUUCAAGUAUGCGUAGCUCGGGAAACGCUAGAGGACCUUGACCAGGAGGGGAUAUAGGACCGUAGAAUCUGUUUGAACGGAGAGUAAAGGCUUGCAAAUUAGGCAAACCCUUGAGCCAGAAAGGAAACGUAUCUUUGAUGUUGUUGUUGUCCACACUUAGAAACUUUAGAGAGGAGCAUUUGAGCUGCACCUCUUCACAAAUUCCCUUCCCCUGUACUAUCAUUCCACCUCCGACCAUCACUCCGUAUCCUCGCGACGUUCCUCGAGUCAACCCUAGCCUCCUCACCAAGCUCUCCGAGAUGAAGUUGUGAGUGGCUCCGCUGUCGAUCAAGACUACCACCUCCUCUCCAUUGAUCGUCCCUCUUAGCUUGAUGGUAUGGGGAGCGGACAAUCCCACUACAGAAUUGACAGACAGCUCCGCUACCUCCGUUAUCUCUUCUUCCUCGUCCUCCCUGUGUUCCAUCUGCUCCUCACUGAUCUCGAUCUCGGUCCCAUUUUCAUGGACCACCAGAACCAUAAGUUCUUUGCGGGAGCAUACGUGUGGGUACACAUAUUUCUCGUCGCAUCGAAAGCAGAGAUCGUCCUUCUUCCUCUGAGCGUAUUCCUCCGGUGUGAGCCGGCGAUACGGGGGCUUCAGGCGGCCGUGAUUUGGAGUGGUUUUAUAUAAUUGAACUCUAAGCUACCGCAAUUUCCCAUUGGGGCUUUUCUUGUCAGCCGGCUACAGGAAGAUUCCUCCAUAAAGCAGAGUAGGAUGAACAUCUGCUACCAUACUGGUAAGACAAUGAAAUUAAGGAUCAGCUAUUAUCUAUAUCUUAGCUUUCAGGUUCCCCAUUAGAUAUACCUUCCGACAUAUCUCAGUGACUUUGCGGGAGAACCAUCUUUGGGAUACUUGCAUCUCUCUACAUACUUUGUGGUUGGACCAUCCCAGUUCUGAGCAUUUCCUUCAUUCACUGAGUAUAUGUUUCCCUUCUUUGGAAUCUGUUCCACAAGAAGAACUAAUGAAUCUUGAGAAAGAGAAAGAAUAUGUUUAUUAAUUGGUUCCCCGUUACCUUAAUGUCUGGGUGAGUUAAUAUGAACUCUCCUAGAGAUGGGUCCAGGGUAAAUCCGUUGACACCUGUUCCAGUGCUCAACACAAGCUGAGACAACCAAGUUAAUAAACUAAUCAGACUACUGAUAUUUAUUUUUGUGAAUUUUCAUUUUCAGUACCAUGCAGGAGCUUCCGUACAUACAGUAACCCGCUGCAACCAUUUCAUUCCCAGGUUUCAGAACAUCUUCAGUUGUCGGCUCAUCACUGUGCUCCAUUGUGUAAAUUCCAAAGAUCUACUUACACAUGGAAGACCAGUAAAUAAAUAAAAAAUUACAAACUUUCACAUCAGAUACUCUUUGGAAAAACUUGGGUGAAAGAGAGUAACAUACUGUUCCAAUGGAGACACCACAGUCAAUGUUUGAGGAUCCAUCAAGUGGAUCAAAAACAACACAGUACCUAUAUAUUUGACAGUAGGACUGUGUUUACCACUACAACAUACAUUUUCAUCCCCAAAACUGACAAAGAGAUCGAUUGAAAAUAACUUACUUUCCACGCUUGGAUGACUCCACAAACGUAGCUUCCUCAUCUUCUUCCGGGACAAGAACAGACUGCAGCCACAAGGUUUCAAUUACGAAUCCUUCUCAAGUUCAUAGAAAAGCUAUAUAUGUUUUAACUUACAGUUCUGCCGCUGCUAACCAAAGCCUUGACAAAAACAUCGUUAGAGAGCACAUUCAGUUUCUUUUGCUCUUCACCCUAUUACACAGAGACAAAAAAAAAAAAAAAAAAAAAAAAAAAAAAGGAUUAAUCUCCAAAAUAACACAUUUCUAAAUUUAUGUCACAAAAAUAGCCCUCAAAAACUAAAAUGACCAAAAUAGCAUUUUAUCUUUUGAAAAACUUAUUUGAAAUCUUAUCCCAAAACUCCAUUCCCCAACUAUGAACCCUAAAACCUAAACUCUAAACCCUAAACUCUAAACCCUAAAUCCUAAACCCCACCCCUUAACUCUAAACUCUAAACCCCACCCCUUAACUCUAAACUCUAAACCCUAAACCCUAAACCCUAAACCCUAAACCCUAAACCCUAAAUCCUAAACUCCACUCCUUAACUCUAAACCCUAA
RNAcentral lists this long non-coding RNA (29488 nucleotides) under Brassica napus (rape). RNAcentral's name for it is "long non-coding RNA (BNAP_LNC026047)". Lineage: Eukaryota; Viridiplantae; Streptophyta; Magnoliopsida; Brassicales; Brassicaceae. The record is from RNAcentral.